RNAcentral lists this transfer RNA (18 nucleotides) under Nassauvia ulicina. RNAcentral describes it as "partial tRNA-Phe". Lineage: Eukaryota; Viridiplantae; Streptophyta; Magnoliopsida; Asterales; Asteraceae. The record is from RNAcentral.
GUUGGGAUAGCUCAGUUG